RNAcentral lists this ribosomal RNA (506 nucleotides) under uncultured bacterium. RNAcentral's name for it is "partial 16S ribosomal RNA". It matches the Rfam family "Bacterial small subunit ribosomal RNA", at positions 30 to 523 of the family's 1533-position model. The record is from RNAcentral.
AUUGAACGCUGGCGGCAGGCCUAACACAUGCAAGUCGAACGGUAACAGGAAACAGCUUGCUGUUUCGCUGACGAGUGGCGGACGGGCGAGUAAUGUCUGGGAAACUGCCUGAUGGAGGGGGAUAACUACUGGAAACGGUAGCUAAUACCGCAUAACGUCGCAAGACCAAAGAGGGGGACCUUCGGGCCUCUUGCCAUCGGAUGUGCCCAGAUGGGAUUAGCUAGUAGGUGGGGUAACGGCUCACCUAGGCGACGAUCCCUAGCUGGUCUGAGAGGAUGACCAGCCACACUGGAACUGAGACACGGUCCAGACUCCUACGGGAGGCAGCAGUGGGGAAUAUUGCACAAUGGGCGCAAGCCUGAUGCAGCCAUGUCGCGUGUAUGAAGAAGGCCUUCGGGUUGUAAAGUACUUUCAGCGGGGAGGAAGGGAGUAAAGUUAAUACCUCUGCUCAUUGACGUUACCCGCAGAAGAAGCACCGGCUAACUCCGUGCCAGCCGCCGCGGUAA